Macrobrachium nipponense is the source of this 586-nucleotide long non-coding RNA. RefSeq lists it as uncharacterized. NCBI's taxonomy places the organism in Eukaryota, Metazoa, Arthropoda, Malacostraca, Decapoda, Palaemonidae. The record is from RefSeq and is a predicted model, not a curated record. The transcript has 5 exons.
GUGACAGCGACCCAGAUGACCCUGAGCCUUUCCAUGGUUUUGAUGCCUCGCCCUAUUCAUCAGAUCUAGAUGUUCCCUCAUCAGUUGAUACGAGUAGUAUCACCUCUCCAGAGCCCAAAUCAGUUGAUACGAGUAGUAUCACCUCUCCCAUUCCUUCAGACUCCCAAGCACCUGCCCAUCCCACUCCAUAGCCCAGCCACCCACUCAUCUACCAUAUGCCCAUCCCAGUAAGCAAGCCAACCACUAGAAUUUGACUGGCAUGCACCUGUGACUUACAUAAACCAGACCUCUACAUAGCCUACAUGUCUUCAUUUUGCUGAAGGGUAGGAAUUCUCAGUUGUGUUUGUUUGCAUACGUACAAUAAAUUUUGUACACCUAAGUGGUUACAUACUGUCCUUUAAUAUUAAUUCUUCAUUCCAGACUGCCCAUCAUCCUAGCCUGUUAUCUGUGAUAAAGCACACUGAAGUUAGGUUUGGAAUGCAUCCUUAUCAUGAAUGCUCUACACCUCCACCUCCGUCUCCCACAACCUAGGUAACAGCUUUGAGACUCACUAAAAGUUGAGUCCCCUGAAUGAUGUAGGCUAUGG